Long non-coding RNA from Amphiprion ocellaris (clown anemonefish), 442 nucleotides. The record is from Ensembl. Lineage: Eukaryota; Metazoa; Chordata; Actinopteri; Pomacentridae.
GUGGCCGGGAACAUGAUGAUGUGUCUGUGUGUGUGUUGUGGGCUGCACAGUGGACAGAAUUAAGGUUUCCCAGAGACUAUGGGUUGAGGAGGAAUUGGAAGUUUGUCGGCUUAGACCUGGUGUCAUUCCAUCAGUGUUAAACUUCCCGGCUCAUCUUGGAAGAGUACGUGCCAGGAAGAGUACGUGCCAGAAAGACCACGACCAAGCAGCCUUGAGAUCUUAGGCAGCGUCUCCCUCAGGUCCCUCUCUAUCUCCCCACACAUCCACCAACCACUGGAACACAUCUCCAAAGUUCUGCCAGGCCAGCUCAGCUUCCCUUCAGAAGAAGUGCUGCCAGAUGAAGGAGCCUUUUGAGAGGCAGCUGGCAUCGUGAUUGGACUGUACUUUGGUCUGUUCCAAUCCAGCUUCAGCUCCAGAGACGGCAGGCGGGACGAGUCAACAG